AAGUGAACGGAGGGAAAGAAAUUGCUGUCAUUACUUUUCAAGAAAGGAGGUAUGCAAAUUUUCGACAGAAAGAUUGCGUUCAUAAUGGGCCUGGUAAAAUACAAGGAUCAUGCUUGACAGAUGGGAAACCAUCUUCUGCAAGGAUUUCUGCUUGGGAGGUGUCUAAAACUUGUACUGUGCUAUCCGAAAACAGAAACAACAUCUCAAACAAACAGAAACAGAAACUGUCAUUCCAUCUCAAAGAAGAGACCACCAGGACUCUUCCAGGUACUCUUCUUUUUCCCCUCUUGGAAUUCAUCAUAUUCAUAACUGGGAUUUUAAAUUAAGUUAAACAGUCUUUAUUUUAGGAUGGUUUGAAAAACUAGUCUU
Molecule: non-coding RNA, 369 nt
Organism: Manis javanica (Malayan pangolin)
Lineage: Eukaryota; Metazoa; Chordata; Mammalia; Pholidota; Manidae
Source: RefSeq, a predicted model, not a curated record